GGCGAACAGGAGCAGGGAAAGCGCCUCCGAUACGCCAGGCCUAGGGACCUGCGGGGAGAGGGCGAGGUUAACACCCGGCAUGGGCCUCUGAUUGGCUCCUGGGACUCGCCCCGCCUACGCCCAUAGGUGUCUGUACAUGCCCCGCAGAGCAGACGGCCCACCUCCUCCCGGCCCUCCAGGGAAGGGGACACAUGAGGGACUCGCCUGUGGCUCCCUCUGCCUGCAGCAACUCCAUCCGCUCCUGCAACUGCCGUACGUGCGCCUCUAGGUCCCGGUUCCGAGCCUCUGCCUCGCGUAGUUGACUGUGGGGAGGUAACGGGCAGCUGCUUCAAAGACCUCCUGAUUUGAGGAAGGGGAGCGACAGCGCGAAGAGAACACUCUCAGGUGGGCCAGUGGCCCCUCCUCUGCUUAGGAAAAGCCCUGCCCCUCCCCUGGCCUUGGGCCCCUGGGAGCUGCUCUUUGUAAACCUUCUGCAGUGACUCGGGGUCCAGACCCCCAUGUUCCAGGGUCAGCUCGUCUCCUCCCUUGACAUGUGAUCUCUGCAGACCCCUCUUCUUAGGGCCACAGGACAGGGAGGCCGACCUGAUGAAGGAGACUGCUUGGCUCUGGCCACCUCCACAGAUGUGGUCCUAAGACUGGACAUGAGACCCCACGAUGGCGACUUGAGAUCAGCACACCCCACUCAGCUGUGGGAAGGGGACAGCUCCUCCCUAGGGUACGAAGCGGCUGUCCCCACCAACCUAGCAGUCCCUCCUGUGGGAACAUGACUCAGGACCCAGCUAUCCUGGGCAUGCAUCUGGGCUCCAAUAGAGGAUGGGUUCAAUCCUGACCCACCAUUCAGGCCCCACAGCAGUUCAGAAUCGAGUUAGAGUUCAUUAACGGUAAGGUACAGUAUUUGUAAUGUUGUCCUGUAAUAAAAGCUGAUUAGAAAACCAA
This is a non-coding RNA of Chlorocebus sabaeus (green monkey), 936 nucleotides long. NCBI's taxonomy places the organism in Eukaryota, Metazoa, Chordata, Mammalia, Primates, Cercopithecidae. The record is from RefSeq and is a predicted model, not a curated record.